This 1336-nucleotide ribosomal RNA is filed under the name Lethal yellowing phytoplasma. RNAcentral describes it as "bacterial SSU rRNA". It matches the Rfam family "Bacterial small subunit ribosomal RNA", at positions 76 to 1409 of the family's 1533-position model. The record is from RNAcentral. Lineage: Bacteria; Bacillati; Mycoplasmatota; Mollicutes; Acholeplasmatales; Acholeplasmataceae.
GAAAUACUUUUAGAUUUUAGUGGCGCACGGGUGAGUAACACGUAAGCAACCUGCCUUUAAGACGAGAAUAACAAUUGGAAACAGUUGCUAAGGCUGGAUAGGAAAUAAAAAGGCAUCUUUUUAUUUUUAAAAGACCUUCUUCGGAGGGUAUGCUUAAAGAGGGGCUUGCGUCACAUUAGUUAGUUGGUAGGGUAAUGGCCUACCAAGACGAUGAUGUGUAGCUGGACUGAGAGGUUGAACAGCCACAUUGGGACUGAGACACGGCCCAAACUCCUACGGGAGGCAGCAGUAGGGAAUUUUCGGCAAUGGAGGAAACUCUGACCGAGCAACGCCGCGUGAACGACGAAGUACUUCGGUAUGUAAAGUUCUUUUAUUGAAGAAGAAACAAUAGUGGAAAAACUAUCUUGACGUUAUUCAAUGAAUAAGCCCCGGCUAACUAUGUGCCAGCAGCCGCGGUAAUACAUAGGGGGCGAGCGUUAUCCGGAAUUAUUGGGCGUAAAGGGUGCGUAGGCGGUUUAAUAAGUCUCUAGUUUAAUUUCAACGCUUAACGUUGUCCUGCUAGAGAAACUGUUUGACUAGAGUGAGAUAGAGGUAAGCGGAAUUCCAUGUGUAGCGGUAAAAUGUGUAAAUAUAUGGAGGAACACCAGAGGCGUAGGCGGCUUACUGGGUCUUUACUGACGCUGAUGCACGAAAGCGUGGGGAGCAAACAGGAUUAGAUACCCUGGUAGUCCACGCCGUAAACUAUGAGUACUAAGUGUCGGGGUUAAACUCGGUACUGAAGUUAACACAUUAAGUACUCCGCCUGAGUAGUACGUACGCAAGUAUGAAACUUAAAGGAAUUGACGGGAUCCCGCACAAGCGGUGGAUCAUGUUGUUUAAUUCGAAGAUACACGAAAAACCUUACCAGGUCUUGACAUACUCUGCAAAACUAUAGAAAUAUAGUGGAGGUUAUCAGGGAUACAGGUGGUGCAUGGUUGUCGUCAGCUCGUGUCGUGAGAUGUUAGGUUAAGUUCUAAAACGAGCGCAACCCCUGUCGUUAAUUGCCAGCACGUUAUGGUGGGGACUUUAGCGAGACUGCCAAUGAAAAAUUGGAGGAAGGUGGGGAUUACGUCAAAUCAUCAUGCCCCUUAUGAUCUGGGCUACAAACGUGAUACAAUGGCUAUUACAAAGAGUAGCUUAAACGCGAGUUUUUGGCAAAUCUCAAAAAAAUAGUCUUAGUUCGGAUUGAAGUCUGCAACUCGACUUCAUGAAGUUGGAAUCGCUAGUAAUCGCGAAUCAGCAUGUCGCGGUGAAUACGUUCUCGGGGUUUGUACACACCGCCCGUCAAACCACGAAA